AGAGUUUGAUCCUGGCUCAGGAUGAACGCUGGCGGCGUGCCUAACACAUGCAAGUCGAGCGGAGUUAUUUUCAGGAAGCUUUCGGGUGGAAUGAACUUAACUUAGCGGCGGACGGGUGAGUAACGCGUGGACAACCUACCCUGUACAGGGGAUAACAAUGGGAAACCAUUGCUAAUACCCCAUAACACCUUUUAGGGGCAUCCCUUUAAGGUCAAAGAAUUUCGGUACAGGAUGGGUCCGCGUCUGAUUAGCUAGUUGGUGAGGUAAUGGCUCACCAAGGCGACGAUCAGUAGCCGGCCUGAGAGGGUGAACGGCCACACUGGAACUGAGACACGGUCCAGACUCCUACGGGAGGCAGCAGUGGGGAAUAUUGCACAAUGGGCGAAAGCCUGAUGCAGCAACGCCGCGUGAGCGAUGAAGGCUUUCGGGUCGUAAAGCUCUGUCCUAAGGGAAGAUAAUGACGGUACCUUAGGAGGAAGCCCCGGCUAACUACGUGCCAGCAGCCGCGGUAAUAC
Molecule: ribosomal RNA, 515 nt
Filed under: uncultured Clostridiaceae bacterium
Lineage: Bacteria; Bacillati; Bacillota; Clostridia; Eubacteriales; Clostridiaceae
Description: bacterial SSU rRNA
Rfam family: Bacterial small subunit ribosomal RNA
Source: RNAcentral